Long non-coding RNA from Anguilla anguilla (European eel), 358 nucleotides. RefSeq lists it as uncharacterized. Lineage: Eukaryota; Metazoa; Chordata; Actinopteri; Anguilliformes; Anguillidae. The transcript is spliced from 4 exons. The record is from RefSeq and is a predicted model, not a curated record.
AGAAAUUACCUACAAUUAUGGAAACAAUGAUUGGCCUUGGAGAGAAAAGGUUACUGCUGUGGCCAGACAUACUGGAACAGACACUGUGGACACUGGAAUGGCCUCUAGCUCAAGUUCACAUCUGAUUGACCAGGUCACUGCUGUGGCCAUCCCUACUGGAACAGACACUGUAGACACUGAAAUGGCCUCCAGCUGUAGCCCACUUCUGAUUCACCAGAUAACUGGUGAGGCUACGCUUGUUGCUGAUAUGUUGGAUGAAGAUGAGAUCUGUGACUCUGGCGCAGUUCUACAUGGCAAGCUGAAGGACGCCGUGACUUCAUGUGAAGCUAAGAACAAGGUGUCAUCCUGUGAUUUACAG